CAGAAUGCAGUUUAUGCUCCUUAUAUCACAUGUCUAUCCUUUUAAAUCCUAACCGAAAUAACAAUACCUUGAUAACAAAAAUCUGUUAACAGUCCCUUUUAUUUUCUGUUCUGAUAUUUACCCCCCCCCCUUUUUUUCUGUCUAUAAAUUAAGGUUUAUCAUUACAGAAAAACAGAUAAAGCUAAGGAUGAACAUAGGGGCUGAUUUUCAAUAAAACUGACCUCAUUUCACAUUUAUAUUCACUUUAUAUUCAAACAGCGUUUGAUAGAAAUAUAUUGUUUUUUUGCUUAAUUUUGUGAAAUAAUCAAUAGAAAAAUAUAUGUUAGUA
This 328-nucleotide long non-coding RNA is filed under the name Mytilus galloprovincialis (Mediterranean mussel). Lineage: Eukaryota; Metazoa; Mollusca; Bivalvia; Mytilida; Mytilidae. The record is from RNAcentral.